GCCGCUAUAGCUCAGUUGGUAGAGCAAUGCCAUGGUAAGGCAGAGGUCGUAGGUUCAACUCCUAUUAGCGGCA
RNAcentral lists this transfer RNA (73 nucleotides) under Candidatus Izimoplasma sp. HR1. RNAcentral's name for it is "Candidatus Izimaplasma sp. HR1 tRNA". It matches the Rfam family "tRNA". From Rfam's summary of the family: Transfer RNA (tRNA) molecules are approximately 80 nucleotides in length. Their secondary structure includes four short double-helical elements and three loops (D, anti-codon, and T loops). Lineage: Bacteria; Bacillati; Mycoplasmatota; Mollicutes; Candidatus Izemoplasmatales; Candidatus Izemoplasmataceae. The record is from Rfam by way of RNAcentral.